CCCGUCACUUGGGUGACCAAGUGCUCCAGUGUGCCCAGGAGUGAAGCUUCCUGGUGUAGGGCACUUCGAUGACUGCACAAGAAAGGACUGCCACCGACCAGCUUAGAACAAUGCCCGUAUGAACUUACACCCAAAUGGCUGGGUAGCUCCAAGUCUCCAAGGCUGAAAAUCAAGUGUUGACCAGGCCGAGUCAUCCGCUGGAGAUUCUGGGACCCCAGAGUGGAGGCAGAGCCGUGGUGAGCCCAGGAACCGGCAUCUUCUGCAGACGCCACAGCCCAGGAGCAGGUCAUAAUACCAAAUAAAUGCCUUUGGGCAAGAAUGUUAGUUAGAUCGCAACAUCUGGAAGAGACUGAAAGAACCAGCUGACAUCGGGAAAUCAUUGUCCUAUUUUUGCCUCUGGCACCAACAAGCUCUGUGACCUUAAGUAAGUCAGUUCCCCAUCUGGACCCUUGUCUAUGUGU
Molecule: long non-coding RNA, 461 nt
Filed under: Mustela putorius furo (domestic ferret)
Lineage: Eukaryota; Metazoa; Chordata; Mammalia; Carnivora; Mustelidae
Description: lncRNA (ENSMPUG00000030672.1)
Source: RNAcentral